GAGUGGAUUCCCACCCUUUUUUAAAAGAUUGAUUUUCUCAAUAAGCUCCCGCAGAAAUCCGCUUGCUUUUUUCAUAAUCAAGCUCUCUCUGCCGCUCUACUUUCAUUCUUGUUUCCAGCCGGCGUCCAUAUUCCUCGUAUCCAAUUCCGUGUGACAGCUGCAUCGCUUUUUCCAUUUCUGACGUAUAAUCGAGGUUCAGUCUGUCCUGGCUGCUGCAAAUAAUGAAUCAAUCCCUUCAUAUAUUUGCU
This 248-nucleotide small RNA is filed under the name Bacillus subtilis subsp. subtilis str. 168. Its description in RNAcentral is "BsrI". The record is from RNAcentral. Lineage: Bacteria; Bacillati; Bacillota; Bacilli; Caryophanales; Bacillaceae.